RNAcentral lists this ribosomal RNA (468 nucleotides) under Periplaneta americana (American cockroach). Its description in RNAcentral is "partial 16S ribosomal RNA". The stretch from base 327 to 468 matches the Rfam family "Bacterial large subunit ribosomal RNA", at positions 2473 to 2613 of the family's 2925-position model. The record is from RNAcentral. Lineage: Eukaryota; Metazoa; Arthropoda; Insecta; Blattodea; Blattidae.
GCGGUAUUUUGACCGUGCAAAGGUAGCAUAAUCAUUAGUCUUUUAAUUGUGGACUGGAAUGAAUGGUUGGACGAGGAAUAUACUGUUUCUUAUAAUAUUAUUGAAUUUAAUUUUUAAGUUAAAAAGCUUAAAUUUAUUUAUAGGACGAGAAGACCCUAUAGAGUUUAUAUACAUUAUUCUAUUUAUUUUGUUUGUUUAUUUUAUUUAGUAUUUAAUAUAUUUUAUUGGGGUGAUUGGAAGAAUUAAUUAACUCUUUUUUUUUAAUAUACAUUAAUUUAUGAAUACUUGAUCCAAUUUUGUUGAUUAUAAGAUUAAAUUACCUUAGGGAUAACAGCGUAAUCUUUUUUGAGAGUUCUUAUUGAUGAAUGGGUUUGCGACCUCGAUGUUGGAUUAAGAUUUAAUUUGGGUGUAGAAUUUCAAUUUGUUUAGGUCUGUUCGACCUUUAAAAUCUUACGUGAUCUGAGUUCA